ACAGAUUUACCAGAAUCCCAUAUUUCCCCAUCAUCUGCAUGUUGUUGAUUUAGUUCCUGUCUUGAUCGCUUUUGCAUCCUACAGAAAAGAUGCAGAUAAACCCCGCCCGGAAAUAUGGAGAGCCACAGUGCAGCAUUUCACAUUGAAGGUGAUUAGCAACAUCCAGGACAUACUUUCCUCCAGUGGCUCAGAUGGUAAAGAAUCAGCCUGCAACGCCAGAGAUGAGACCCAGGUUCGAUCCCUGGGUAGGGAAGAUCCCCUGGAGAAGGAAAUGGCAACCCACUUCAAUAUUCUUGCCUGGAGAAUCCCAUGGACAGAGGAGACUGGUGGGCUACAGUCCAUGCGGUCACAAAGAGUUGGACACACCUGAGUGACUAACACUUCCCACUUCCCUCCAAGCAGACAGAGUCAGAGGGCAUUAUUGGCAAUGAUACUAAAUAAGAAGUGAAGAAUACUUGAGAUUUCUAAUAGCAUAGCCUACAUUCUGCAGUUAUAAAGCCUUCUCCUAGAAUAGAGAAGAAGUACAGGUGGAUUCCUCACAAUAUCAUUUUGCCAGCUCUUAAUUUUAAGAGCAUUCUUGUUUAUUCCUUCUCUUAACAGAUUUUGUCGGGGCCAAGUCCUCACUCCACAUAGUACCCAGGCUACACAGCCUAAUGCCAUGGAACAUGACACACACUGAUAAUCUCCUCUGCUGUUUCUCUUCUUCUUGAAGUGGGGCCAUUUCCUUGAAUUGCUGUAGUUGAGAACUUCUUAGUCAUCCCUUACAUGCUAGGUCCCUGAGAUGGGACAAGUGAGUUAGGAAGUUGUAGACCCAAAGUGUUUUGCCUCGGUGAUCAUUUCUUCAAUGGCAAGAACCACGAGGCCAUUGUCCAGUGCUGGUCAUUCCCUGAAAAGGUGAUUUUUAUUCUGCAAAGGGUGCCUGUGACCGUGAGCAGUUACCUGGAAUUUAGCUAUGUAAACUCUGCCAGACUGAAUAAGUUUCAGCUCAGGAACUGUCUCCCAAGUCCCUGUGAACACCAGAGUCUUAUAGGACACAGUUGUUCUUUCUGACUUGAGACUGUGACCAUCGGCUGCAUUUCUAAGGUGCACCAUUGCUUUUCCUUCCACGUUGCCAGUCUCAGAAGCAGGAGCCAUGGGGUCUUAAUGUUGAAGGGAAAUCACUUCAGCCUCUGUUUCCAGUGACCUGUGGGCUCACGCUUCCUGCCUGAAGGCUGAGCUAGAAUCCUAAUGAGCUGAAUGCAAGCUGAACUUGCUCUUCCGGUUGAUGUGCUGGCCAUCUAUUGACCUUCUGUAGCUCAGGAAAGAGUUUUUAGCCCUGGCAGCAUAGAUAAAAGAGACAUGGGUUGUAUCUGCCAGCUCGCCUGUGUUUUUUGCACUCUUCCCUGUGUUUUUUACUUUUUUCACUUCCCAAGUCAGUGAGCAGCAAGUUUAAGCUGCGUAAAGCAUUCACUAUUUGCAUACUUGGUGCACUUGGCUGUUUCUCUCUUUAGACUAUAGGGCCAA
Molecule: long non-coding RNA, 1503 nt
Filed under: Capra hircus (goat)
Lineage: Eukaryota; Metazoa; Chordata; Mammalia; Artiodactyla; Bovidae
Description: lncRNA (ENSCHIG00000000754.1)
Source: RNAcentral